Long non-coding RNA from Leopardus geoffroyi (Geoffroy's cat), 6480 nucleotides. RefSeq lists it as uncharacterized. NCBI's taxonomy places the organism in Eukaryota, Metazoa, Chordata, Mammalia, Carnivora, Felidae. The record is from RefSeq and is a predicted model, not a curated record. The transcript is spliced from 4 exons.
GACGCUUAACCGACGGAGCCACCCAGGCACCCCUCCUCCAAAUUUUUUAAUUUUUAAGGGUUUUGUUUCUCUAAUGCAUCUUUCGAUUGAGUUUGUUUUCCAUCAUAGUUAUAUGAGAUCUAUAAUGAAUAUUUCAUUGCUUUACCCUUCUUUCAUCUGAAUUCUAUUAAUUAAGCUUGUAUAUGUUUCUCUUUUCCCUGGUGUUUCUGAAGCAACUUUUUAACUUGUAGCUACUUUCCAUUUAAGAAAACCAAUAUUCAGUCUCCUCAUCUUCCUCUUCCCUCUCUCCUGUCUGCUUUUCCCUGGGCCCUGACGCAAAGCAGCGAAAGCCCUCUGCCUCGUGGCUGCAACCUGCCAGGCUGUGUCGGGGCCCUCCCAUCGCGGAAGAGUGGAUUGCCAGAGACUUGUUCUAACACAGUGCUAGUGCUUGUAAUCCCUCCCCAUGCCGAAAGCGUACAGAGUACGUCCUCUGCCUUCCUUGGGUGCAUAAUUACUUCCCCUCGUGAGGCAGAGCUUCCUGGAGGACAAUCAGAGAGCCGCAGUGUUCAGCAGCCCGCUGAUGAAGAAUGUCUGCCUGCGGUCUCCUUCUAGGAGGCUAUUGUGCUGGAGGAAGGGUUUAGUGGCCCAAGCAUCAGCUCUCAAAUGCCAGGUUCAAAUUCUGACUCCGCCAUUUGUCCCCAUGCGGUGUUUGAGUAAAGCUGGCGUGGCUGUGUGUUUGGGGAGGGGCGUGUUGCUAAGCAAGAGCCCUGGUGCAGCUCUGUUUCAGAUUACCCUAGGGUUCGGGAACCAUUGAUAUUAUCUUUGCCUCAUAGAAGUUAAGAGCUGGGUUGUUUUGUUUCUUUCCUGUGAAAUACAGUUCCAUGCAUCUCGGAGCUUCACGUUUGGGGAGAAAUCCUUUAGCUUUUCACCUGCGUUUUUCUUCCGGUGCAAAUGGGGAUAAUGUCAUUUUUGCCAGUUCCUAAGUGCAGCUGGGGGAAUCCCUUAAAUAUUUCUAAUGUUAACAGGAUAUAGAGUCGGGAAAUGCCUGCACAACCAUCGUGAACUGUUGUUGUGGCGUACGACUUUACUUUCUCGCUGUAGUAAAUAACUUGUGUAAGGCCACAUAAGACAGAGUUGGGAUCUGAACUUAGCCUGUGUCUGGACUUUCCGUCACCUCAUGCAGCUCCUGGCCUGCUACUGUGGAGAGAGAGUGCCAGCUUCUUGGGAAACUUCCACUCAGUCUUACUGGAGCUCAGUGUUGGUCUUAGCAGGAGGCCAGAAUCAAGGAGCAGUCAGCCGCUCACGGGAGCACGGGAAACAUCCUGAGUCAGGGAUCCUUCUCCCACUCAGAGCCCUGCCCUUUCGAAAGAUGGGAACUGUUUUUAUUUGCAUUGCAGCCUUUAAGUUAAUUAAUGGGAAUUAAUACGUGUGUAAGAACUUCAGAAAUUUCCCAAAGGCUCAUUAUAAAUUUAGUGUAAAAGGAGCACUGGAUAUUUUUUUAAAGACAGGGCUCUCAUUAAAUUUUUAGGUUAUUAAUAAAAACAUUUUUAUCAGGGCAAGUUGAGUGUGAGUGCUGGGAUGAAGACAUCAGUGAAUGCACUUGAGCCAAAUUCAACUGACUCCUACAAGGGAAACCAUGCGGGGUGUAUGUGUGUGUGUGUGUGUGUGUGUGUGUGUGUGUGUGUGUUUGGUGGAGGGGAGAGGAGGCUGGUAGUGUGAAGUACUAAAGGCUGCCAGAAAAGCACAUAUCUAUAAUUUCCUUUCAUUAGGAAAAGGUUCCCGACUUAAUUGUUUGUAUUAUCAAAUCAUCUAAGACUUCCUCCGCUAUUACAGGAUGUGGCCAAAAAAAAAAAAAAAAGCAUUUAGUGGUAUAUAAAAACAGAACGGAGUGUCUGCUUAUUUGGGGAUUUAUAUCUGUUUAUUCAUUUAUGACCACCAGCCAGGUAGCUUGAUCAAUGAUAAUAGGAGAGCUUUAUGAGGAACGUCGCACGUGCCAGCUCCCCUGUUUCCAUAGAGAAUACAUGUACAGAAGUAAAUCUUCGAACAAACAGAAAAGCGGUUUAACUUAUGCUCUCUCUAACUGUCUUUGAAUAGAGGCUUAUCCUGCCUGGGCCUCUGCGGGCUUUCCCCUGGCUUAGCAUCACUGCCUUCAGAGCCAGCAGCCACCCUAGGAACGCCAGCCACCCACGGCACACCUGUGAACGGCGGAAGGUCGUGCUGGGGAUGCUUGCAAACCCCAGUAACAGUGGCUCACGCCUUUGCCAGGGUGCUCGAGCCAUUGUUCGACCGUGGAGAAGUGGCACAUCUUUGUCACAACAUACCUCUCCUUGGGGUGGCAUCUCGCUUCCGCACUGCCCUUGUGCACGCUGGUCCCAGUGCUCAGAACGGUCCCAAAGGGACCACCGUCCUUGUUACAGAGCAUUUUCACACCGUGUGAAGGGCCUCUUGGUUCUUUUCAACUCAUAUCUUUUCCUGGGUUAAACAGCUCCGUUUCCCUUUGCCGUUUUUUAUCAUAUGUUCUAACUUUUAGAAUUCUUGACAUCCGAGUUGUCUCCCCUCUGAAAAUCCUAUCGCCUAACAACACAUUUCCCAAGAUAUGACACCAGAAGAAGGCUUAGGACACCCUAAGCCAUAUGGGGUCCACGGGAUCACAGGGUAGCGUGUUACUGUCACCUGCCUAUGUCUGGAGCCUAUAUCCCAGCUGCCACAGCUAAAAGUAAGACUGUGAAUUUCUUAUGGACCAGAACUGGCCUCGGUCACAGCAGGCAGAAGAGUAAAUGAAUAAGGUUGUCCGAGUGCUUUUUAACAACAGCAGCCACACUUCACAAAGCACUGCUAAGGAAGCAUUUCCCCUUCCCCUUUGCAGUCAGAUGGCUCCCUGGACUCCAGCAGGCCUCUGUCUCCCCUUUUCAGGUCAAACAGCAUCUUUCCAGCUCCGCUGCUGAUGCCACUCUGGCCACCUGAGAUCACCGCAAGUUCUCCUUGUCUUCCAGAACUCCAGCCACACCACCCGGUCCUAUGCCGCACGCAGACCUGAAGAGCGUGUGGUCUACUCUUCCUACAGGGACUAAUAUGUCUGAAGAAAUGCUGUUUGGAUAAUCAUUGUUCCUCUUCAUCACAUGCGUUGAGAACCAUGCUGAGAAUACCACGGAAUACAGCCUGCGUUACAACAGCGUGCGUCUACUGCUCACAGAGCUGUCUCUGACCGUCGCCCCUUUGUCAGACGUGAGUGACUGCACCUAAAUGGACCGGCUGAAAAAUAGGAGGGGCCCCACUGUCAGCACUGAUAGGGGCUGCAAAGCCUCACAGCCGCCGCUCCUGGGGUCCCUUCCUGCUCUGAAAUCUGCAGCAGUUCCAUCUGGCAGAGUUUUCAAAGUUCUUCCCUGUUUCUUCAUCUUCCGGGGGCCGAACUGCCGUUGGGUCUGACGCUUCUCCCAGCCUCCACCAGUUCUCGCCUCACUUUACCUCACAGAUGUGUCCCCUGAUGAACUUCCCUGACGCCUGCUUCUCGGAGGACCUGUAUCGACACGUUGUCUAAUUCAGUCUCCCCAAACUUAGGAGCUAUUGAUGACUAUAAGAAAUUGAGCCUCGGGGAUUUUGAAGUACGCAUUCAGGUCACCCUGCCAGUGAGUGGCAGUCUUCCAACCCAUCUCCGUCUCUUGACUCGUCUCAUUGUGCCACACUGUCUAGGACACCUUACUGUACAUGUAUGUUUCUUCUUUAUGUGCUACUUUGCCGGUUGACAAGUUCUAUGGUAGAAAAAGGAGUAGGUAAAGAUUAGCCUACAGCUCUCUGCCAAAAGGGAAAACAAAAAAACAAAAAAAAAAAAAGAUCUGGAAGGCAAGUUGUUAAUAUAAAACGUUCACCCUUUUUCUAGAGGAACUUACAAUUUAAGCUUCUCUGUACGUGUCACUGACAGGGAGCUGUCUGGCUACAUGAAUAUGUUGUUUUUCUUUUUUUUUUCUCCCUACACCCCUUUUUAGGUAAUUCAGAGCUGCAAGUGCUGAAUCUAUUUUUCAGAGAUAACAUGCGAAUUUGUGACAUUCCCUGUGGAGUUUGAGGUCUAGGAACCUAGGAAGAGAUCACAACGAAACACAAGCAUUGCUUCCAAGUGCUAGAGUGAUUAUUGUCUGGAAGUCUUAGCGUUAUUUAAAAGGCAGCUUCUUCUCAUUUGGAUCAGGCAACGGUGUGUUUUCUGAAGGCGAGAAGGCCUUUCUAUAAAAGCCAGUACAGAGUGGGGCUGCAGGCUGCUUGUGUUGCAGCAGAGGCCAACGGCAAAAGCCACAGUAGCCGCUUCAGGGAAGCACCAGCAAGUGGAACCGAUGCCUAAUGAAUGGAGGGCCCAGUGGGGAAGUGAAGAAAACAAAGGGAGACUUUUUUUCCCCCUCAUUUCCCCCACCCCCACCCACCACUUUUUUAUUCCAGGAAAGAAAAGUACAGUUUACUGCGAUUCAUUCCCACACCUGGUGAAGGUUCAAGAGGACAGGGAGCCUGAGGACCUUCACCUGAAUGGCUUCUUGAAAGAUGCUGUGUUCAGAUCUUUGGUGCCAGAAGAACACCGACUCGUCUCCCUCUUUGCUUCGCAGGGCCUCCUUUCAUGUGAUUUAGAAAAUGUAUUCUUCUCAGAGCUACGCCACCGGUCUUGUGGGUACUCCUGCUGCCCAUCCGUUCUCUCUAUUUCUCUGGUCGGGGUCCCAAGCAAGAGCAGGCACCUCGAUCGCUGAGUCAUUUCCUCAGAUGAGUCUACCGCAGAAUCUUAGCUCUUGGAUGGAGGCCCCCACUGUUGGUCUUCUGCCUCAACAUUCCUUUUAACUGAAUGGUGUCCCGCUUGCCUCUCCAGUUCAUCUCUCGUGGCUUCUUCACACCAAAACAAAAGUGCUUUCCGUUCUAGAAGCUUCCAUUUUCCCUAUGCCACAUGCCUUUGCCCACGCUGUUUCUUCCACCAGUAGCGUCCUGUGCCCCUUGCUAACUCCCUUGCUCUCUGCCCAUUUGGUGCAUGUUUAAUUCCAGGAAGACGGCGUUCAAGUGAAACCUCUGCGAAGCCUUCCAUGACAUCUCCAAACUCGAUUAAUUACUUCAUUCUCUGCGUGUGUCAGUAAUUUUGUUUAGCGGAAAUUAAUUUUGCCUCUCUGUGAAGAUACAGAUUCACAUUCAGUAGAUUUUCUGAGUGACUACUAAGUGCCUGGCACUGGAAUGAUCACUUUCACAUACAGCACUUUUUGAAUUUCUUUUUGGUGAAGAGACCAGAGAACAUGAGCCUUUUGGAUUGAGAUGCACUAGUAUGGUAUUGUGAAAUUACUCUUGACUCUUCAGAAGAAGGAAUGGGUAUACAUAUGAGGGGCAUUUUUAGUCACUUCUAGUUUGAUAAAAAAAACAACACAACAAAAUCUUUGUUGUUUGUUGUUCGAGGUCUCUGACUUCCCCAGAAGUUUUGGGGAAAAUCGUGAACCCCGCUUCCAGUGACCCUCUGCCACACGAGGACACAAAUUAAUGAUCUCUGUAGGUCUCUUUGGAAGGUGCAUUAUGUUAUCACACUUGCCGUGAGCUCUGGGGGCCUCCAGACUCCCUGAGUGGCAGCAGGCAUAGGCCCUGCCCCGUCCCACUCUGCAUGGCCACCUGAGCCAUGAGGAACCCAAUCUCAGUCACUCCUUCUUGUAAGGUUGUAAGUAACAGCCAGCAUAUCUGCAGAAUGCAACAAGUACCACUGUUUAAUGUGCAUAGGAUUUUUGACAUGCUAAUUACAUCCUGCUCCAAGCCGUGAGGCGUAGGUGAUCGGCUCCGUGAAACAAUCAACAGUCAGAAAAAUAGCUUUUAUUUUUCACUGAGAUGACUGUGAAGAAACAUUUUUUGCUGUUGAUAACUCUGCUUUUAGUUGGAAACACAGAGCACAGGCUGGUAAACUAUAGCCUAUGAGUGAGCCCGUUCUGUUGUUUCAUUUCACACGUAAAUGUUUAUUGGAACACAGCCAGGCCACGUGCUUACAUAUUGCCCGUGACUGCUUUCACAUUAUAAACAUAGAGUUGAGUGGUUGCAGAGAGGUUGGAUAACCCACAGAGACUAAACUACUCACUGCUUCGUCCUUUGCAGAAAAAGUGUGCCGAUCCCUGACACGGCAAUGCAGAGUUCUUCCAGAAACCAUCAAGGCAGACUCUCCAACAGCAAGUCCUUAACCAAAAGCCUGAUUGCAAGAAUAUUUUUCUCUCAGAUCUUAGUAUCAAGAAAGUUGGGCUUGCUCUUGAGCCACUGGCGAGUUUGUAAUCUUCUGGGCUCUCUGAGUCCUGGAAUGGACAGUGUCUUUCUUUCAGUUUUGGCUAUAAGCACUUCCUGAACCAAAAUUGCCCACCUUCUCUGUAGGUGGUAUCAAUCUCUACUCACUUUCAGCUUGACCUCUCUUAAAUCCUCUUGGCUCUGAUUACCUGUUAAUUUUCACCCGAUAGUCUCUAUGGACAUAGUUGGUGGCAAAAGAUUAGGUCUAAAUAAAUAUGUAAGUAUGUACAUAAA